GGGUUGUGAGGUUAAGCGACUAAGCGUACACGGUGGAUGCCCUGGCAGUCAGAGGCGAUGAAGGACGUGCUAAUCUGCGAUAAGCGUCGGUAAGGUGAUAUGAACCGUUAUAACCGGCGAUUUCCGAAUGGGGAAACCCAGUGUGUUUCGACACACUAUCAUUAACUGAAUCCAUAGGUUAAUGAGGCGAACCGGGGGAACUGAAACAUCUAAGUACCCCGAGGAAAAGAAAUCAACCGAGAUUCCCCCAGUAGCGGCGAGCGAACGGGGAGCAGCCCAGAGCCUGAAUCAGUGUGUGUGUUAGUGGAAGCGUCUGGAAAGGCGCGCGAUACAGGGUGACAGCCCCGUACACAAAAAUGCACAUGCUGUGAGCUCGAUGAGUAGGGCGGGACACGUGGUAUCCUGUCUGAAUAUGGGGGGACCAUCCUCCAAGGCUAAAUACUCCUGACUGACCGAUAGUGAACCAGUACCGUGAGGGAAAGGCGAAAAGAACCCCGGCGAGGGGAGUGAAAAAGAACCUGAAACCGUGUACGUACAAGCAGUGGGAGCACGCUUAGGCGUGUGACUGCGUACCUUUUGUAUAAUGGGUCAGCGACUUAUAUUCUGUAGCAAGGUUAACCGAAUAGGGGAGCCGAAGGGAAACCGAGUCUUAACUGGGCGUUAAGUUGCAGGGUAUAGACCCGAAACCCGGUGAUCUAGCCAUGGGCAGGUUGAAGGUUGGGUAACACUAACUGGAGGACCGAACCGACUAAUGUUGAAAAAUUAGCGGAUGACUUGUGGCUGGGGGUGAAAGGCCAAUCAAACCGGGAGAUAGCUGGUUCUCCCCGAAAGCUAUUUAGGUAGCGCCUCGUGAAUUCAUCUCCGGGGGUAGAGCACUGUUUCGGCAAGGGGGUCAUCCCGACUUACCAACCCGAUGCAAACUGCGAAUACCGGAGAAUGUUAUCACGGGAGACACACGGCGGGUGCUAACGUCCGUCGUGAAGAGGGAAACAACCCAGACCGCCAGCUAAGGUCCCAAAGUCAUGGUUAAGUGGGAAACGAUGUGGGAAGGCCCAGACAGCCAGGAUGUUGGCUUAGAAGCAGCCAUCAUUUAAAGAAAGCGUAAUAGCUCACUGGUCGAGUCGGCCUGCGCGGAAGAUGUAACGGGGCUAAACCAUGCACCGAAGCUGCGGCAGCGACGCUUAUGCGUUGUUGGGUAGGGGAGCGUUCUGUAAGCCUGCGAAGGUGUGCUGUGAGGCAUGCUGGAGGUAUCAGAAGUGCGAAUGCUGACAUAAGUAACGAUAAAGCGGGUGAAAAGCCCGCUCGCCGGAAGACCAAGGGUUCCUGUCCAACGUUAAUCGGGGCAGGGUGAGUCGACCCCUAAGGCGAGGCCGAAAGGCGUAGUCGAUGGGAAACAGGUUAAUAUUCCUGUACUUGGUGUUACUGCGAAGGGGGGACGGAGAAGGCUAUGUUGGCCGGGCGACGGUUGUCCCGGUUUAAGCGUGUAGGCUGGUUUUCCAGGCAAAUCCGGAAAAUCAAGGCUGAGGCGUGAUGACGAGGCACUACGGUGCUGAAGCAACAAAUGCCCUGCUUCCAGGAAAAGCCUCUAAGCAUCAGGUAACAUCAAAUCGUACCCCAAACCGACACAGGUGGUCAGGUAGAGAAUACCAAGGCGCUUGAGAGAACUCGGGUGAAGGAACUAGGCAAAAUGGUGCCGUAACUUCGGGAGAAGGCACGCUGAUACGUAGGUGAAGUCCCUCGCGGAUGGAGCUGAAAUCAGUCGAAGAUACCAGCUGGCUGCAACUGUUUAUUAAAAACACAGCACUGUGCAAACACGAAAGUGGACGUAUACGGUGUGACGCCUGCCCGGUGCCGGAAGGUUAAUUGAUGGGGUCAGCGCAAGCGAAGCUCUUGAUCGAAGCCCCGGUAAACGGCGGCCGUAACUAUAACGGUCCUAAGGUAGCGAAAUUCCUUGUCGGGUAAGUUCCGACCUGCACGAAUGGCGUAAUGAUGGCCAGGCUGUCUCCACCCGAGACUCAGUGAAAUUGAACUCGCUGUGAAGAUGCAGUGUACCCGCGGCAAGACGGAAAGACCCCGUGAACCUUUACUAUAGCUUGACACUGAACAUUGAGCCUUGAUGUGUAGGAUAGGUGGGAGGCUUUGAAGUGUGGACGCCAGUCUGCAUGGAGCCGACCUUGAAAUACCACCCUUUAAUGUUUGAUGUUCUAACGUUGACCCGUGAUCCGGGUUGCGGACAGUGUCUGGUGGGUAGUUUGACUGGGGCGGUCUCCUCCUAAAGAGUAACGGAGGAGCACGAAGGUUGGCUAAUCCUGGUCGGACAUCAGGAGGUUAGUGCAAUGGCAUAAGCCAGCUUGACUGCGAGCGUGACGGCGCGAGCAGGUGCGAAAGCAGGUCAUAGUGAUCCGGUGGUUCUGAAUGGAAGGGCCAUCGCUCAACGGAUAAAAGGUACUCCGGGGAUAACAGGCUGAUACCGCCCAAGAGUUCAUAUCGACGGCGGUGUUUGGCACCUCGAUGUCGGCUCAUCACAUCCUGGGGCUGAAGUAGGUCCCAAGGGUAUGGCUGUUCGCCAUUUAAAGUGGUACGCGAGCUGGGUUUAGAACGUCGUGAGACAGUUCGGUCCCUAUCUGCCGUGGGCGCUGGAGAACUGAGGGGGGCUGCUCCUAGUACGAGAGGACCGGAGUGGACGCAUCACUGGUGUUCGGGUUGUCAUGCCAAUGGCACUGCCCGGUAGCUAAAUGCGGAAGAGAUAAGUGCUGAAAGCAUCUAAGCACGAAACUUGCCCCGAGAUGAGUUCUCCCUGACCCUUUAAGGGUCCUGAAGGAACGUUGAAGACGACGACGUUGAUAGGCCGGGUGUGUAAGCGCAGCGAUGCGUUGAGCUAACCGGUACUAAUGAACCGUGAGGCUUAACCUUACAACGCCGAAGCUGUU
RNAcentral lists this ribosomal RNA (2930 nucleotides) under Escherichia coli. RNAcentral's name for it is "bacterial LSU rRNA". It matches the Rfam family "Bacterial large subunit ribosomal RNA". Lineage: Bacteria; Pseudomonadati; Pseudomonadota; Gammaproteobacteria; Enterobacterales; Enterobacteriaceae. The record is from RNAcentral.